GUGAGGAAUAUUGGUCAAUGGGCGGGAGCCUGAACCAGCCAAGUCGCGUGAAGGAAGAAGGAUCUAUGGUUCGUAAACUUCUUUUGCAGGGGAAUAAAGUGCAGGACGUGUCCUGUUUUGUAUGUACCCUGAGAAUAAGGAUCGGCUAACUCCGUGCCAGCAGCCGCGGUAAUACGGAGGAUCCGAGCGUUAUCCGGAUUUAUUGGGUUUAAAGGGUGCGUAGGUGGUUUGAUAAGUCAGCGGUGAAAGUUUGCAGAUUAACUGUAAAAAUGCCGUUGAAACUGUCGGACUUGAGUGUAAAUGAGGUAGGCGGAAUGCGUGGUGUAGCGGUGAAAUGCAUAGAUAUCACGCAGAACUCCGAUUGCGAAGGCAGCUUACUAAGCUACAACUGACACUGAAGCACGAAAGCGUGGGGAUCAAACAGGAUUAGAAACCCGUGUAGUCC
This 445-nucleotide ribosomal RNA is filed under the name uncultured bacterium. Its description in RNAcentral is "partial 16S ribosomal RNA". It matches the Rfam family "Bacterial small subunit ribosomal RNA", at positions 354 to 796 of the family's 1533-position model. The record is from RNAcentral.